CUACGGGACGCUGCAGUGGGGAAUAUUGCACAAUGGGGGAAACCCUGAUGCAGCAACGCCGCGUGGAGGAUGACGCAUUUCGGUGUGUAAACUCCUUUUAUAUCCCAAGAUAAUGACGGUAGGAUAUGAAUAAGCACCGGCUAACUCCGUGCCAGCAGCCGCGGUAAUACGGAGGGUGCAAGCGUUACUCGGAAUCACUGGGCGUAAAGGGCGCGUAGGCGGGUUGUCAAGUCUUGAGUGAAAUCCAACGGCUCAACCGUUGAACUGCUUGAGAAACUGGCAGCCUAGAGUAAGGGAGAGGUAGAUGGAAUUGGUGGUGGAGGGGUAAAAUCCGUAGAGAUCACCAGGAAUACCCAUUGCGAAGGCGAUCUGCUGGAACUUUACUGACGCUGAGGCGCGAAAGCGUGGGGAGCAAACAGGAUUAGAUACCCUUGUAGUC
RNAcentral lists this ribosomal RNA (439 nucleotides) under uncultured bacterium. RNAcentral's name for it is "partial 16S ribosomal RNA". It matches the Rfam family "Bacterial small subunit ribosomal RNA", at positions 339 to 795 of the family's 1533-position model. The record is from RNAcentral.